This 304-nucleotide unclassified non-coding RNA is filed under the name uncultured fungus. RNAcentral describes it as "sequence contains 5.8S rRNA gene". Lineage: Eukaryota; Fungi. The record is from RNAcentral.
GAACGCACCUUGCACCCUUUGGUAUUCCGAAGGGUACGCCCGUUUGAGUGUCAUUGUAAUCUCACACCCCAAGACUUUUGUCGAAAGGGAUUGUGGACUUGGACGCCGUUGUGUUACUACGACUCGUCUCAAAUGCAUGAGUGUACCCUGUGUCCGCAGCGUAUUCGGUGUGAUAAGCAUCUUCACCGGAGUCAAGCCCUUCUGGGGCGCGCUUGCAAAUGUGGGCUCUAUGCUGCAAACUGUCUUUGGACAAUCACUUGACAAUUUGACCUCAAAUCGGGCGGGACUACCCGCUGAACUUAAG